AGCAGCCGCGGUAAUUCCAGUUCCAAUAGCGUAUAUUAAAGUUGUUGCAGUUAAAAGCUCGUAGUUGAAUUUCGGGAUCAAUACGUCGGUCGUGCUUCGGUACGUACUGGCGUAAUUGAUUUCUCCCUUCUGACGAACCAUGAUGUCAUUAACUUGGUGUCAUGGGAAAUCAGGACUGUUACUUUGAAAAAUUGAGUGUUUAAAGCAGGCUCACGCUUGAAUACAUUAGCAUGGAAUAAUGAAAUAGGACGUUCGAUCCUAUUUUGUGGUUUUAGGAUCAACG
This 283-nucleotide unclassified non-coding RNA is filed under the name uncultured Glomus. RNAcentral describes it as "sequence contains 18S rRNA gene". It matches the Rfam family "Eukaryotic small subunit ribosomal RNA", at positions 569 to 861 of the family's 1831-position model. Lineage: Eukaryota; Fungi; Glomeromycota; Glomeromycetes; Glomerales; Glomeraceae. The record is from RNAcentral.